Molecule: ribosomal RNA, 253 nt
Filed under: uncultured bacterium
Lineage: Bacteria
Description: partial 16S ribosomal RNA
Rfam family: Bacterial small subunit ribosomal RNA
Source: RNAcentral
UACGGGGGGGGCAAGCGUUGUUCGGAAUUACUGGGCGUAAAGGGCUCGUAGGUGGCCAACUAAGUCAGACGUGAAAUCCCUCGGCUUAACCGGGGAACUGCGUCUGAUACUGGAUGGCUUGAGGUUGGGAGAGGGAUGCGGAAUUCCAGGUGUAGCGGUGAAAUGCGUAGAUAUCUGGAGGAACACCGGUGGCGAAGGCGGCAUCCUGGACCAAUCCUGACACUGAGGAGCGAAAGCCAGGGGAGCAAACGGG